GAAAAAAACUUUCUCUCUCCCUCCCUUMCUCUCCUCAUCGGAAAGUCCUAGAUCCAUAGGUUGCAACUGGAUUCUURUUUCUAUUUGUGUUUAUCACUUUUUUCCUGCUCUUAGCCCCUCUCCUCUCUCAUCUGGUAAUCAUUGACUCCAACCAACAUCUUUUAACUCGUCAUGGAAGAGAUCCCCUAGAACAAUGGACUCCCGAAUCCUUCUUUGCAUAACAGCCCAAAUCCUAACUUGUCGUUAAUUCGCACCGGAACUUUGGCGAUCGAAACCCUAACUUUCCCCUAAAUCCUUUGUUUGCAGAACAACCUUAACCCUAUCUCACUGUUAACCAGCAUCGGAAUUAAUGUCCACCAGCGUUUGAAACCUUGGGUUGGAAACUAAUCUGAAAUAACCCAAAGUAACACCCAUUUGCGUUUAACACCAUGGCGUUUGAAAAUAGAAUGCCCUCAAUUAUAUUUUAUUUUCGUUCUUUUCUUAUCUGAUUCUAAGAAAUACUAUUUUAGGUUUUUAGGGAAUUUUAUAGGAUUGACUCUAUUGUCAGAAAGAGUUUCCAUGGGUUCUUCAAUUGGUGCAUUUAGUUUUCAUGGCUUAUUCAAUUGGUGCGUUUAGUUCCUCUUCAGCGUUUGAUGGUUUAUCUUUGUGGGUUUACUUUAUUUAUUUUCUUUGGUUCCAUUAAUCUUUAGUUUAUCUUAUUUCUUUCUUUAUCUAAUUCUAAGAACAAUGUUUCAAGGCAGAGGAACACUCAGACGUGGCGAUUGUGGCGAAGAAUCAUUACGUUCGUUAAUGUUCAGUUCCCGCACUUAGAUGGUGUUCAGUUUCAUUACCCUUAUUCUCCUUUCCUAUUCAGACAAAAUGAAUAAAAUGGUUAAAAAAUAUCAUAAAAAUAAUUUUGUUAUUUUGAAAUUAUUUAAUGCAGACUUAAUAUUGGCACUGUUGAAUGAUAGUCAACUAAGWCAAAGAUAUAUUAGGCAUAAUUUGAAAAUUAAGGGUAUUAUAAACGACACGUUUUAAAAAUAAGGGACUGACUCGACACAACCCCAAAUUACAGGUACCGAUCAGAAAAUUUCCCUUUUCUUUUUUCAAUUUUCACCGUUCAGCUACUUUACUUCGGAUAUCAACGAGGGCUAACCGCGGAAAACUAGGAAGUCGAACACAUAAGAUCCCGGGAAUCGACUCAGAGAGGGAGAUGGUGAAAGCGUCGUAUAUGUGGCUAAAGAAGAGCCGGCGAUUAGGCACCUUCUCUCUCUGUUAUGCAUCCCGGUCAUCGUCGAUGACAUUCGACCCGACGAUACACGGCAAUACGGCAUGGCAUGCGUUCUUACGGGAUCUCAUUCCUUCGGUUGAUCGAGAAGAUCAGCGAUGAAGGUGUUGUAGAGAUCAGCGGAACCGGCAGUCUCUUGGAUUGGUGAAGGAAGGGUUAUGAGGAUUGGAGAAAAUCUUUAUCUACUAUGGUGUUUUCUCAGUUUGAGCGCUCUAUGAUGUGUUGCAUGGGAUCUUUACACAUCUGCUUCCUGAUGUUUAUAUUAGCAGUUGACCUUAGAAGAGGUACAGAAACUUGAAGAUAACUGGAAUUACAUGUUCCUUCUUCUGAUGGAGACAUUGAAACACUAAACAUAUCAGAGAUUUCUUUGGUGUCAAUCAUUAUUAAGCCAGACCCAACAAUAGAGACCAUCAUCUAUUGAUCAAAAAACAAUAGAGACCACCAUGCUCAAAUAUGUUGGAUGUGCGUUGAAGAAUCUCUCCAGAAAGUGCAAGAGUACAUUCUAGCAAGUUGAUGCUUGGGAUUAUUUUUAUUCUCAUGGCCCAGAUGAUAACUCAGAUGAUCCCAUUAGAGGCAUUUUAUGUUGUCAUAGCAUAUAAAUCGCCAGGGCRGAUAAUGCUAGGUUUUGCAGCACAAUAUCUGUGUGCAGUUUGAAAUGUGAUAUUUCAUGGCAGCACCUUUUUUUGGACCCAUGGAGGUAAGCAUUAACAUUCUCAUCAUUUGUCUCCAAAUUAAUUUCAUUUUGUUAUCAUAUACCUGACAUAAAAGUUUUGCACUAUGUGCAUUAGACCUAUUUUCUUUCAUUACUGUUAAUUAGAAAGUGCUUAUAUAUUUUCUUUGAUUAUUUUUUCUUUAUUUUCUUUGUUUCUUCCUGGUAGUUUUGUAGCCUUUGUUUUUGAAAAAAUCCUUUUUUGAUACGACGUUACCAACCUACAUCUCCCUACUCUGGGCAUCCUUAUUUUUAGUUGCUUCUUUAGUUCA
Nelumbo nucifera (sacred lotus) is the source of this 2248-nucleotide long non-coding RNA. RefSeq lists it as uncharacterized. The record is from RefSeq and is a predicted model, not a curated record. NCBI's taxonomy places the organism in Eukaryota, Viridiplantae, Streptophyta, Magnoliopsida, Proteales, Nelumbonaceae.